GGGGGCGUAGUUCAGAUGAUAGAGCGCUUGCUUAGCAUGCGAGAGGUACGGGGAUCGAUACCUCACGCCUUCA
Molecule: transfer RNA, 73 nt
Filed under: Trichonephila inaurata madagascariensis
Lineage: Eukaryota; Metazoa; Arthropoda; Arachnida; Araneae; Nephilidae
Rfam family: tRNA
About the family: Transfer RNA (tRNA) molecules are approximately 80 nucleotides in length.
Source: Rfam by way of RNAcentral